Molecule: microRNA precursor, 85 nt
Filed under: Oesophagostomum dentatum (nodular worm)
Lineage: Eukaryota; Metazoa; Nematoda; Chromadorea; Rhabditida; Strongylidae
Description: mir-228 microRNA precursor family
Rfam family: mir-228 microRNA precursor family
Source: Rfam by way of RNAcentral
GGAUGCCCCGCAAUGGCACUGCAUGAAUUCACGGUUCACUUAUCCACGCCGUGCAUCCAUCGGUUCCAUACCGGGCUCGUCGCCA